RNAcentral lists this long non-coding RNA (1445 nucleotides) under Canis lupus familiaris (dog). RNAcentral's name for it is "lncRNA (ENSCAFG00000052733.1, ENSCAFG00845013893.1)". Lineage: Eukaryota; Metazoa; Chordata; Mammalia; Carnivora; Canidae. The record is from RNAcentral.
UUUUUUCUUUUUCUUUUUUUUUCAAUCUCUCUUGAUGAUUCUCUUCCAAUAUUAAGUUCCAAUGGUACUGGAUUUAUAUCUGUACCCCACAAAUAUACCCUGGAACGUGUCUGGAAUACAUGCCAUGAGGGCAGGGAUCUGAGUCCUUACUGCCCACCCCCCAACAAUCCUUGGCACACAGCACUCAGUAAAUAAAUAAAUCUUUUAAUAAAUAUUUUUUUGAAUCACCAUAAAUGAAUGGCUGCAUAAUGAAAACCAGAUUGAAGUAAUGAAGACCAAGAGACAAAAAAAAACCCCUGAUCUUUCUGAAACCGUACCUCUGAUCAAACACAUGCAACACACACUGCCUGCCUGCUUAAAAUCCUUUGAUUUUAAGCUUGGGGGCUCCUCAAUGGCCCCAAGCUAAAAUCCAAACUCUUCAAAACUUACAAGGAGAUACAAGAAAGUCUUUCAGAAGGGACACCUGCUUAUCUUUCAAACAUUGGCCAGAACACUUUGGCUUCCUGGAAUCCCGUCUCUACCCUGCCUACGAAAUCCUUGCAGAGGCCCCAUAAGCCUGCAGUCUUAUCCUCUGAGCUUUGCACAAGCAGCUCUUUCUGCCUGCCUGGAACACACUGCACUUCACCAGCCUCAUCUGGCCUUCACAGACAGCCUUCAUGUCUCAUUUUGGAAAUCAUCUUCUUUUAGAAUCUCCCUUUGACCACCCUCUCUAGCCUCAUUUCCUGAAAUCUAGGUUAACUGCCUUCUCUGUGCAUUCACAGUCCCUUGUAUGUCCAAAACCAUAGCUCAAAUUGCAAGGAAUUCUUAUUUAUACCUUAGAACUGCAGAGUUCCCUGAGGACAAGAUGUCUCAUUCACUUUACCCCUGGCGAUCUGCCCAGGCCAUGACACACAAUACAGGCUCAAUGAUGGACUUCCUUGUAGUGGUAGUAGUAAUGAUAAAAAGCUCCAAGAUAUUGAGGACUUACCUGCGAGAGUUUUAAAUAUGAAUUUCGUGUGCCUUAUGAGACUAUUAUUAUGCCCAUUUAGCAGAUGGGAAAACUGAUGCACAAUGAAGUCAAUCCUCUCUGGCCCCAGGAGAGUCACACAGACAUACAUUUUGUUCAGUUUUGAGUUAUUCCCCGAACCCCAAACUAAAGGGGCUUUAAAAAAAAGAAAAGAAAAGAAACUUUGAGGUCAGGUCACGCAAUGGGCUCCCAAUACAGAAAACAGUCGAGAGCGCACUCCAAGCCAAAGCCAAGCAGGGCUAAAGGGCAGGAGGGGGCGCCGCCCCGGCGCGGCGGCGGGGGAUAAAGGUCUGACCCCAGCCUCCUUCCCGGGGGUCCCCCGCGCCCCAGCCCCCGGCCUGCCCGACGAGCCGACGCCGGUGCGGGCGCGUCUGGGUCGCGACUGCCGCCCGGCCCUGCUCACCUGCCGCCCCGCCGCCUCGCCGAGCCCGGGCCGCCG